AGCGCAGGCGGGAAGGUAAGUCGGUCUUAAAGUGCGGGGCUCAACCCCGUGAUGGGAUCGAAACUAUCUUUCUUGAGUGCAGGAGAGGAAAGUGGAAUUCCUAGUGUAGCGGUGAAAUGCGUAGAUAUUAGGAGGAACACCAGUGGCGAAGGCGACUUUCUGGACUGUAACUGACGCUGAGGCUCGAAAGCCAGGGGAGCGAACG
This 205-nucleotide ribosomal RNA is filed under the name uncultured Selenomonas sp. RNAcentral describes it as "partial 16S ribosomal RNA". It matches the Rfam family "Bacterial small subunit ribosomal RNA", at positions 568 to 774 of the family's 1533-position model. Lineage: Bacteria; Bacillati; Bacillota; Negativicutes; Selenomonadales; Selenomonadaceae. The record is from RNAcentral.